RNAcentral lists this ribosomal RNA (433 nucleotides) under uncultured fungus. RNAcentral describes it as "eukaryotic LSU rRNA". The stretch from base 1 to 123 matches the Rfam family "5.8S ribosomal RNA", at positions 30 to 154 of the family's 154-position model. The record is from RNAcentral. Lineage: Eukaryota; Fungi.
GCAUCGAUGAAGAACGCAGCGAACUGCGAUAAGUAGUGUGAAUUGCAGAAUUCAGUGAAUCAUCAAACCCUUGAACGUACAUGGCACCCUGUGGUAACGCAGGGUACGCCUGUUUGAGCCUCGGUAUUCAACCUCGCACCCUACUCCAAUUGGUGUAGUGGAGCGGAUCUUGGGGAUUGCUGUACAGCAUUCCCUCAAAUGUAGCUGCUUGACGCAGCGGGUUAACAGGCCAAGGUGCUUGAGCCGCAAAAAAAUCAGUUUUGAUGGCAACAUUUGCCUUUUUAUCUGGUUUGGCUCGAUCUCUUGUAAACCUGACCUGCGAACGUUUUCAGGCAUGAUGUGCUUCUCUUCAGAGAAGUACCCUUUUUUCAACUUUCGAGCUCAAAUCAGGCGAGAGUACCCGCUGAAUUUAAGCAUAUCAAUAAGCGGAGGA